UACGGAGGGUGCAAGCGUUAAUCGGAAUUACUGGGCGUAAAGCGCACGCAGGUGGUCAAUUAAGUCAGAUGUGAAAGCUCCGAGCUUAACCUGGGAAUUGCAUCUGAAACUGGUUGACUAGAGUAUUGUUGAGGGGGGUAGAAUUCCAUGUGUAGCGGUGAAAUGCGUAGAGAUGAGGAAGAAUACCGGUGGCGAAGGCGGCCCCCUGGACAAAGACUGACGCUCAGGUGCGAAAGCGUGGGGAGCAAACAGG
Molecule: ribosomal RNA, 253 nt
Filed under: uncultured bacterium
Lineage: Bacteria
Description: partial 16S ribosomal RNA
Rfam family: Bacterial small subunit ribosomal RNA
Source: RNAcentral